AAGACCAUAGGUCUGUUAGCAAUGGUGUAUGGACCAGCACAUAUGACCUCCUUAGCAUCUUCCAUGGUUUGAAAUUUAGCUACAUAAUACCCCUCCUCAUGGUAGUAUAGAUCUGGCUCUGGAACAUGAGACCAGUGUAGGUUAAUGUAUCGUUUCAUAGCAUUAUAACCUGGCCCAGUCCCCAAAACAAAAAUCACCAUAGAACACUUCCAUUUCUGCUCUUCCUCCUC
RNAcentral lists this long non-coding RNA (230 nucleotides) under Nicotiana benthamiana. Its description in RNAcentral is "long non-coding RNA (NBEN_LNC030370)". Lineage: Eukaryota; Viridiplantae; Streptophyta; Magnoliopsida; Solanales; Solanaceae. The record is from RNAcentral.